UCUCAUUAUAUAAUUUUUGGACAAUCUUCACCUCAUAAAGUAGUUUUUGGGUUAAAUCAGGUUUAAAAUCUAUUUCUUUAUCAAUGUUAGAACCAUUAAAUGACGACGACAACAACAUAUCUAGGUAAUCCCAUAAGUCUAUUUCUUUAUCAAUGUAAGAACCACUAAAUGACUAUUUCACCAAAUAUCGACUUUACUAUAUUGGUGAUGUUCGAAGCAAUUUACACCUCGAUUAUUUCACCAGAAACUAACUACUCACUCACACCAGUAGUGAUGAUCUCACAGCACAAAGCAAAAACAAAGAAAAGAACACGUAGCAAAGUUUUAGGUACAAUAAUUGAAUAACUCAGAUUCGAAAUAUUAGAAAAAUAGUUGAACUUUAGAAUAUUGGAAAUUUAGACGAAGGAGAAAUAAGGAAACUUAA
This is a long non-coding RNA of Lycium ferocissimum, 424 nucleotides long. RefSeq lists it as uncharacterized. The transcript is spliced from 2 exons. The record is from RefSeq and is a predicted model, not a curated record. NCBI's taxonomy places the organism in Eukaryota, Viridiplantae, Streptophyta, Magnoliopsida, Solanales, Solanaceae.